AUGAAUGAACAUUACGGUCCAUACAGUAGCUACACGAUUUCCCCUGAACUUCAACUGUUAUACAGAAGUUUUUUUUAGGGGGGGCUAAGACAUCCAUAUACUCGAUACUCGCAAAUCGGACGUCACCAGGAUCAUCCAUGUCUGGAAAUUCACGGUGGAUUGUCCAAUGGGAAGGGAAGGAGGCCCCUCGGGAGGUCAGAUGGAGUUAUUUUGCAGACAAUACUGUCCCUGCGAGAAUGAGAGGGGCAGUUGUGAUACAAUGCCUUGGUCCUUGCUGUUUUGCGCCCUGUCGUGCUGCUCAGAACUUUUGCCGAAAUUGUGAAUUAGAACGCCAGUCCUGCUGUUUACAGUCUCCGACUCAUCCGUUAACACGCCCGAAAAGACGAAGAUCAGAUUUGUUGUGA
Molecule: long non-coding RNA, 404 nt
Filed under: Lepisosteus oculatus (spotted gar)
Lineage: Eukaryota; Metazoa; Chordata; Actinopteri; Semionotiformes; Lepisosteidae
Description: lncRNA (ENSLOCG00000022606.1)
Source: RNAcentral